UACGGAGGAUGCGAGCGUUAUCCGGAUUUAUUGGGUUUAAAGGGUGCGCAGGCGGACUUUUAAGUCAGCGGUCAAAUCGUGGGGCUCAACCCCAUCCAGCCGUUGAAACUGGGGAUCUAGAGUGUGCGAGAGGUAUGCGGAAUGCGUGGUGUAGCGGUGAAAUGCAUAGAUAUCACGCAGAACCCCGAUUGCGAAGGCAGCAUACCGGUGCACAGCUGACGCUCAGGCACGAAAGCGUGGGUAUCGAACAGG
RNAcentral lists this ribosomal RNA (252 nucleotides) under uncultured bacterium. RNAcentral describes it as "partial 16S ribosomal RNA". It matches the Rfam family "Bacterial small subunit ribosomal RNA", at positions 524 to 776 of the family's 1533-position model. The record is from RNAcentral.